GACUAUGAGAUGAGAAAUAUGGUAGACUGACUUUAACACAGUUUAUGCCCUUAUAAAUUUCAGUAAUGAUAUACUUACUAUGGUAAGUAUACCAUCACUACAGAACAAAAAAAUUUGAUUACAAGAUAAAAGAAAAUUCCACCGUAAGACAAUUUUUUUUUUGCUUUCUCUUACAGAUUUUGUACUAAUUAUUAUACAUACAUUAUUAUUCUAUAAAUUUUACUGUUUGAGAUUUUUUAGUGUCUUACAUUAUUACUACAAUACGAUCUAUGCCCUUGUGAAUUCUGUUGCAUAAAUAGUGGUGUCACUUUACCUGUUCUUCUAAAAACAUACUGGUUACUGUCAAUUGUGUAGUUCCGAUUUGAUCUUCUGUUCCCUCUUGUCAUAUAUUUUUUAUCUGGCAAUGUUUGUUGAUUCCUUUUAUUUGAAAUGAAAUUGGCUGCUAUUAAAAUUGAUCGGCUGCUUGACAUAAUGACUAAGAUGCAUUUCUUGUGUAUAAUAGGUGGUGCAUCCUGCAGACCUAUGUUUUAAGCUGCCCGACAAUGUCAGCCUGGAGGAAGGGGCUAUGUGUGAGCCCUUGAGUGUUGGUGUUCAUGCUUGCCGUCGUGCCAAUAUCGGUCCUGAGACAAAUGUGCUUAUCAUGGGUGCAGGGCCCAUAGGACUUGUCACAAUGCUAGCAGCUCGUGCUUUUGGAGCUCCUAGAAUUGUCAUUGUGGAUGUGGAUGACUAUCGUUUAUCUGUUGCAAAGGAAAUUGGUGCAGAUAAUAUUGUUAAAGUUUCAACAAAUUUGCAGGUAUAUUACUGCUCAUUGCCCAGCAGAAGAGUUUAGAAAAGUAAAAGACAUCUCAAAAUCUUCAUGCUCACAAUCCUUCCCUUUCUGGCUUUCUCUUAAUCAUCAUAACAACAUGUUUUGUUCAACCAACACUGUUGCAUUAAGACCUUGUUCUAACUUCCUCAGUUCAUUUUUGUUAUCACUACCUUUUGUUUUCUGUUUGAAAGUUGACCACUCUAAUCUGCAUUAUUCUUGUUAUCAGAGUAGAGGUGAGCUUGAGCUUUGGUUCGUUUGAAAAUUGAUCAUGUGCUCCUCACCCUUGUUUUUUCUGCUUGAAUAAACCGCUAUGCAUCGAGUAUUUUGCAGGAUAUAGCUGAAGAAGUGGAAAAGAUACAGAAAGCCAUGGGGACGGGAAUAGAUGUGAGCUUUGAUUGUGCAGGCCUUAACAAAACCAUGUCAACAGCACUGGGCGCCACUCGUGCAGGUGGUAAAGUUUGCCUCGUGGGGAUGGGUCAUCAUGAUAUGACUGUCCCACUCACUCCAGCUGCUGCAAGGUACUUGAUUUACGGUUUUCUUUUCCUUUUUUUUUCUUGUUUUGGGCUACUCCGUUAUUUACUUUAGGAAAAUGCUAUAUACCCCGGGUCAAACCCCAAAACUAAUUCAAGCGACGUUGUUUGAUCCUUUUUUUUUUUAUUCACCUUAAAACGACGCCGUUUUGUUUAGCUAACGUCAGCCUUAAUUGCUCUCUCUUCAUCUUCGUUUCAACGACAAAAUCGAUUUGGCUUAGACAAAACCGAUUUCAAGAACAUCAGCGACAAAACCGAUUUGGCAAAACCUUUAAGCUUUUAUCUUCCUUCUAGGUGAUUGGAUUUGGCUUAGAUAAGGCAAAAAGGAAAUCUUGAACAAGGUGGCUGCCAGGCGUGAUGGUGGUGCUAAUGGCUAGGUAUGCGUGAUGGUGGCUGCCAGUUGUGGAUCGCGAACGGUUGUGAAAUGAAGAGGAAGAUAAAGCAGUUGUUUUACAGAGACAUGGAAGGCGAAUGGUUGGGAGACGAAGAGGAAGAGAGAGCAAUUUUGGACCGUCGUUGCUUUUGUCUUAACUAAGCCAAAACGACAUCGUUUUUGGGAGAAUGAAAGGCCAAAAAAAAUAAAAAUGAAAUAGCGUCGUUUGCAUUAGUUUUGGAGUUUGACUUGGGGUAAAUAGCAACACUAUUUACUUUAAGUUUCUAGUUAGUUUCAGCAAAUUCACUUUAAGAUCACUUUUUUUUUUUUUUGAAAUCUGAGAAAAUUUGAAUUAGUGAUUUUUUUUUUUAUCUGAAUUGCUAAAAGUAAAUUUUAAAUUAUUUUUCUAACCUAAAAAAAAUAUAAAAACUAAUAUUUUUACAUUUAUAUCCUUACAAAUUAUAAAUGUUAAACAAAUAAUAAACAUAUCAAAAAAUAUAAACAAGAUAAUAUAUUAUUAUAACAUAAAUCAUAUUCAGUUGAAUACAACUCUUUAAUAUUUUAUAUUAAAUAUGUUAAUCAAAUUUAUUAUAGUUUAUGAUGUCUUUAUAUGAAAAAUAUUUAUAAAAAAUUAUGAAGAUAAAUAAUGCUAAUUUGAAGAAAAUAAAAAUAUGAAAAUAAUAAUAAUCUACCACUAUAUAUUAUCACAAGUUAUAUAGAGAUGGGUAAUAAUGCUAAUUAUUAAAUUUUAUUUAGGAAAUGAUGAAAAUUAAUUAGUGAGAUAUGAAUAUUUUGGAGAAUAUCUUUUAAUGGUACCAUUAAAACUUUUUAUAUUAAGCAAAAAAGGUAAAAAAAAUUAGUUCAAUAACUUAAUAACUUAAUGGCUGAAAUUUUUCAUUAAGUUGAAAAAAUAAAUAGAUUUAAUGACUUAAUUGAUUAAAAUUAAGUCAAUUAAGCCAAGUAAAAAAAGCAAAUGACCGCUAAGUCUCUGAAAUGCAAAAAAAAAAAAACACAAAAUUCGUGGGAGGAGCAUUUCAUUGUUGGAUUGGGAACAAAUGGAUUUAAAAAAUGAGAGAAUAAAAGUUGAAUACAAUUACCAAAAAGAUCAUAAAGCCAUCAUUUUUAAGAACAUGUAAAAUGGUAAACAAAAGUUGUUGAAUAAAAGUUGGAAUGUCCUAGAAUCAAUAGACUUGGAAGAAGAAUGUAAACAAAUUCUUGUGCUUGGGUUGUAUGUUAUCCAAUAGAACACGAUGGCAUGUCAAGAACAACCUUCACAAACCAUCUUGUAUAUUGUUUCUGUUUAAUGACUGUUUUUCCUUUCCUUUUCUCGAAACAUAUGCUUAAUGACUUCUUAAGCUGAAUAACCCGUUUCAGCUUUUAAUUGGACUAAAAUCCGUCUGAACCUUUUACCCUUAAAUUUAUGAGCAUAAUUGCGAACGCAGGGAAGUGGAUGUGGUGGGGGUGUUUCGCUACAAGAACACCUGGCCACUGUGUCUGGAGUUCCUUAGAAGCGGAAAGAUUGAUGUAAAGCCCCUUAUCACGCACAGGUUUGGUUUCUCCCAGAAAGAAGUGGAAGAGGCCUUUGAAACAAGUGCUCGUGGUGGUACUGCAAUCAAGGUCAUGUUUAAUCUGUAAGAUACAAUGUACUGCAAUCAAGGUCAUGUUUAAUCUGUAAAAUACAACGGCCAUGUAAACGUUUGGGCAAAAGAUUAAAUAAAAUGGAAUUGUCGCCGUGUAAUAUGAACCAAAGUUGAGCUUAUUAAUUUAUUUCUCAUCACCUUGCAGCCGCCGGCGUCAGAGUAACCGUCAUCUCGCUCUUGGCUAAUCCUAUCAGGCAAACUUUGCCUCCUGGACAAGUGGCAUUCAAAGCCGUUGACAUGGUUUUGUCAAACCCAACACAAUCAAAGCUCACAUCAAUGUCUGAACCCAUUGCAUUUUGUAUCUUCCCCACUUCUGUAUCAACGUCCUGCCAAUGUUUUUGCACAGCUUCAAGGCCUAGAAAAAAUUGGGAAAGUGAAAACAGAGUGAUAAUCAUCUAUAUCUGACAAUUAACCUCGAUAUCUGUUGAGAUUUAACUGUUUCAUCCGCGCCAAGAUUCCUCGCAAUAAAUAGACGCUGAACAUCAACAUCAGUGAUGACAAUUCUGGGGGCACCAAAUGCUCGAGCAGCUAACAGGGUAACAAGGCCUAUCGGUCCUGAUCCCAAGAUCAAUACAUUGGUUUCAGGUCCAACGUUUGCACAUUGCUCCUUCCUCCAAGCUCAUAUUUAUCAGGUAACUUGUAACAUAACUUUGCUGGAUGCACAACCUAGUUGCGGGAAAAAGAAAAUGUCUCCGUUAUUUACAAUUCUUAUGUACAUAGACCGCAUGUGAAAUUAAAAAAAUUCUAGUUUGGGAAGCUGAAGACAUCUGAUCAUUGACCUUAUGGGCAAGAGAGCCGUUGGUUGGAGGAGAUCCAAAGAAUCUCAUUUCAGGACAAAGAUUAUAGCUACCAGCUUUGCAGAGACUGCAGUGUUCGCAACUAAUACCAGGUUCUAGAGCCACACGAUCACCCACCUCAAGGGACUUAACUUCACUGCCAACUUCUUCUAUGAUCCCAGCACACUCAUGUCCAAUUACCAUAGGUUUUUUCACAAUAAAAUUGGCACAUCUCAUAGUCUGAUCAUAAACAACAUUUUGCAUACAAUAAGCAGUGACAGCCUUUGGCAUAUUAUACAGUCAUCAAGAUUUUGCAUAGAGACAGACAGAAAGCUUUUUUCACCUUGAAGUGAUGAACAUCACUUCCACAUAUUCCAAGAGCCUUCAUUCGUACUUUCACAUCUUGAGGACCUAAAAAUUACACAAUUUUUUAUUUUUGGGCAUGGCACGGCAUGACAAGUGAUCUGAUUAAAUUCACAGUUGUGCGUAUAGAAUAACGAGAAGAAGAUUAAAAUAUAAUACCUAGGGUAGGCAAAUGAUAUGGCUGAAUUUUCAGAGUUUUGAUUCCAAGCAGCCAUAUUCUGAUUCUCGUCUCCUUCGUUAUCUCUGAUUGCCUUAACUUCACCAUCAUCACCCUUCUUAUCGGCCAUUUCAAUGUUUCCCUUUUUUUCCUUUCCUCUCGUCCUCUAUUUACACAGUGUUAUUGUGUCUCGUAUUAUCCCCUGGAAGUGAAGCUGACUAGAUCCUAGUUAAAAUUGCCUCCUUUUUCUUUUCUUUUUCCCAUCUCAUUUCCCUUGUGCCUGCCAAACAAACUUCUUAAUUAUUAUAGUCACCUUUUUGUACAGGUAUUCCCUUCCCUCCCAUUAUUAAGUUAUUUAAAUUAUAUGAAUUUUAAAAUAUUAUUUCAUGUGACCAUAUUCAUUAAAAGAAGUCAUGAAAAUCAAAUUAUUGGCUUUCUUUUAGUCCAUAGUACCAUACAAUUCUUUCAUACCAUUUUGCAAAAUUAGCCACCUCCCACAUACAUGUAGUUGAUUUUGAUUCCUUUAUGAAGAUACAAUUAUUGCACAGUUUGGAUUUUGGGGUCCAUAAAUUCUGAAAAAAACAAAAUUAACAAACAACCAACGGUUCUGAAACCAAUAAAUUCUCUCCACGUAAGCACGUUAUCCUGUUGAAAAAGAAACCAUAAUCUCUAUUAGAUAGUGUACAGAGUGAAGUCUCUGCUGUGCACUUGUGUUUUUGAAGGGUGAAAAGCAAAUAUGGGCAAGGGAGGGAUGUCACAAGGAGAAAAGGAAGAUGGAGAAGAAGUUAACAUGGCAGCUUGGCUUAUGGGUGUCAACACUCUCAAGAUUCAGCCUUUGGAGCUUCCUUCUCUGGGUAUUUUUAUCUUUCUUUCAUCUCUGUCUUGUAUCUUAGAAGUGUUAUGGAAUUUGUUUAUUGGUUGAAGAUAUGAACUUUGUUAGGUUGAUAUAUAUCUAAAGAGAGAUCUUUGGUUGAAAAACAAUGAAAACACAUCUUCCAAUACAGCUUAUUUCAUACCUUUUACAAUUGAAUUAACUAUCACUCACAAUUAAUGUAUUUCAAACUGAUUGUUUUAACAUCUUUGUUCGUUAUUUGUAAACUGUAGGACCUUAUGAUGUUUUGGUCAGGAUGAAAGCCGUUGGUGUUUGUGGAAGUGAUGUGCAUUUUCUCAAGGUAUAUUUGUUAAUCCCUCUUUAACUUCCCUUAAAUUAUUAUUAUUAUUAUUAUUAUGGCAAUUACUCUGUCAAAUUGCUGAGAAAUGUUAAUAACGGAAUCUUUUCACUUUAUGUUAUUCAAAAUAAUACUUGAAUGUUGAAUGUUUGUGUAUUUUCGCAGACCUUGAGGUGUGCCGAUUCUGUUGUGAAAGAGCCUAUGGUGAUUGGGCACGAGUGUGCUGGGGUCAUAGAGAAGGUGGGAAGCGAGGUGAAGACUUUGGUGCCCGGUGACCGUGUGGCCCUGGAACCAGCGAUCAGCUGCUGGCAAUGUGAUUACUGCAAAGGAGGUCGAUACAAUUUGUGUCCAGAGUCGAAAGGUCUUGGAAGUCCGCCAGUUCAUGGUUGUCUGGCUAAUCAGGUUGAUUGAAAAUUUACAUUUUGAACUAAGUUCUAUAGGACUAUGAGAUGAGAAAUAUGGUAGACUGACUUUAACACAGUUUAUGCCCUUGUAAAUUUCAGUAAUGAUAUACUUACUACGGUUAGUAUAUACCAUCACUACAGAACAAAAAAAUUUGAUUACAAGAUAAAAGAAAAUUCCACUGUAAGACAAUUUUUUUUUUUUUUUUGCUUUCUCUUACAGAUUUUGUACUAAUAAUUAUACAUACAUUAUUAUUCUAUAAAUUUUACUGUUUGAGAUUUUUUAGUGUAUUAGAUUAUUACUACAAUAUGAUCUAUGCCCUUGUGAAUUCUGUUGUUAAAUAGUGGUGUCACUUUACUUGUUCUUCCAAAAACAUACUGGUUACUGUCAAUUGUGUAGUUCCCAUUUGAUCUUCUGUUCCCUCUUGUCAUAUAUUUUUUAUCUGGCAAUGUUUGUUGAUUCCUUUUAUUUGAAAUGAAAUUGGCUGCUAUCAAAAUUGAUCGGCUGCUUGACACAAUGACUAAGAUGCAUUUCUUCUCUAUAAUAGCUGGUGCAUCCUGCAGACCUAUGUUUUAAGCUGCCCGACAAUGUCAGCCUGGAGGAAGGGGCUAUGUGUGAGCCCUUGAGUGUUGGUCUUCAUGCCUGCCGCCGUGCCAAUAUCGGUCCUGAGACAAAUGUGCUUAUCAUGG
Molecule: long non-coding RNA, 6907 nt
Filed under: Citrus maxima (pomelo)
Lineage: Eukaryota; Viridiplantae; Streptophyta; Magnoliopsida; Sapindales; Rutaceae
Description: long non-coding RNA (CMAX_LNC004006)
Source: RNAcentral